AAAUGCGAUAAGUAAUGUGAAUCGCAGAAUUCCGUGAAUCAUCGAAUCUUUGAACGCACAUUGCGCCCUCUGGCAUUCCGGGGGGCAUGCCUGUCCGAGCGUCAUUACGCACCCUCAAGCCCGGCUUGUGUGAUGGGCCCCGGCGUCUCGUUCGCGAGACGGGCCCGAAAGGCAGCGGCGGCGUCGACCCGAUGAGCCCGAGCGUAUGGGGACUUCUGUCACACGUUCGCGGUGCGGACCGGCGCCUGCUUGACUUUUCUGAUUAUCCAGGUUGACCUCGGAUCAGGUAGGGAUACCCGCUGAACUUAAGC
Molecule: unclassified non-coding RNA, 311 nt
Filed under: plant metagenome
Description: partial contains 5.8S ribosomal RNA, internal transcribed spacer 2, and large subunit ribosomal RNA
Rfam family: 5.8S ribosomal RNA (bases 1-104)
Source: RNAcentral